This is a non-coding RNA of Felis catus (domestic cat), 86 nucleotides long. The record is from Rfam. Lineage: Eukaryota; Metazoa; Chordata; Mammalia; Carnivora; Felidae.
GCCUGUGUGGCUCAGUCAGUUAAGCAUCUGAUUUUGGCUCAGGUUACGAUCUCACGGUUUGUGGGUUCAAGCCCCACAUAAGGGCU